GCAUAUCAAUAGCGGAGGAAAAGAAACUAACAAAGGAUUCCCCUAGUAACUGCGAAGUUGAAGAGGGAAAAGCUCAAAUUUAAAAUCUGGCAGCUUCGCUGUCCGAGUUGUAAUUUAGAGAAGUGUUGCCCGCGCUGGACCGUGUACAAGUCUCCUGGAAUGGAGCGUCAUAGAGGGUGAGAAUCCCGUCUUUGACACGGACUCCCAGUGCAUUGUGGUACGCUCUCAAAGAGUCGUGUUGUUUGGGAAUGCAGCACUAAAUGGGUGGUAAAUUCCAUCUAAAGCUAAAUAUUGGCGAGAGACCGAUAGCAAACAAGUACCGUGAGGGAAAGAUGAAAAGAACUUUGGAAAGAGAGUUAAACAGUACGUGAAAUUGUUGAAAGGGAAACGCUUAAAGUCCAGUCGCGUCGGUUGGGAAUCAGUCUCGCUCUUUUGCUUGACGUACUUCCCAGCUGACGGGUCAGCAUCAGUUUUGAUCGUUGGAUAAAGGUUGGAGGAAUGUGGCACCUUCGGGUGUGUUAUAGCCUCUGGUUGUAUACAACGGUUGGGACUGAGGAACUCAGCACGCCGAAAGGCCGGGUACUUGUACCACGUACGUGCUUAGGAUGCUGGCAUAAUGGCUUUAAUCGACCCGUCUUGAAACACGGACCAAGGAGUCUAACAUGCCUGCGAGUAUUUGGGUGGAAAACCCGAGUGCGCAAUGAAAGUGAAAGUUGAGAACUCUUUAGAGUGCAUCGACGCCCGGACCAGACGUUCUCUGACGGAUCCGCGGUAGAGCAUGUAUGUUGGGACCCGAAAGAUGGUGAACUAUGCCUGAAUAGGGUGAAGCCAGAGGAAACUCUGGUGGAGGCUCGUAGCGAUUCUGACGUGCAAAUCGAUCGUCGAAUUUGGGUAUAGGGGGCGAAAGACUAAUCGAACCAUCUAGUAGCUGGUCUGGCGA
This 940-nucleotide ribosomal RNA is filed under the name Flammulina velutipes. RNAcentral's name for it is "LSU rRNA". It matches the Rfam family "Eukaryotic large subunit ribosomal RNA", at positions 38 to 964 of the family's 3401-position model. Lineage: Eukaryota; Fungi; Basidiomycota; Agaricomycetes; Agaricales; Physalacriaceae. The record is from RNAcentral.